RNAcentral lists this ribosomal RNA (293 nucleotides) under Lachnospiraceae bacterium. Its description in RNAcentral is "partial 23S ribosomal RNA". It matches the Rfam family "Bacterial large subunit ribosomal RNA", at positions 2633 to 2925 of the family's 2925-position model. The record is from RNAcentral. Lineage: Bacteria; Bacillati; Bacillota; Clostridia; Lachnospirales; Lachnospiraceae.
GAUCCAGAUUUUCCAGGAGCCGGAAUCCGGCGGUAUGGAACGUGUUAUCGUCGGCGUUGUCGGUGUUCUGCAGUUUGAGGAGUACCGGUUGUUCCACCAGGAGCACCGCCGGGUAGCCAAGUUUGGACGGGAUAAACGCUGAAGGCAUCUAAGCGUGAAGCCCCCCUCAAGAUAAGAUAUCCCAUAGCAUAAGCUAGUAAGACCCCUUAAAGACGAUAAGGUUGAUAGGUGGAAGGUGGAAGUGCAGUAAUGCAUGCAGCUGAUCCAUACUAAUAGGUCGAGGGCUUAACCAA